Molecule: ribosomal RNA, 800 nt
Filed under: uncultured bacterium
Lineage: Bacteria
Description: bacterial SSU rRNA
Rfam family: Bacterial small subunit ribosomal RNA (bases 253-800)
Source: RNAcentral
AAUUGAGACACGGUCCGGACUCUACGGGAGCCAGCAGUGAGGAAUAUUGGUCAAUGGGCGAGAGCCUGAACCAGCCAAGUCGCGUGAAGGAAGAAGGUCUUAUGGAUUGUAAACUUCUUUUAUAGGGGAAUAAAGAUGAGUACGUGUACUCAGUUGUAGGUACCCUAAGAAUAAGGAUCGGCUAACUCCGUGCCAGCAGCCGCGGUAAUACGGAGGAUCCGAGCGUUAUCCGGAUUUAUUGGGUUUAAAGGGUGCGUAGGCGGGUUGAUAAGUCAGUGGUGAAAGGUUUGCGCUCAACGUAGACAUUGCCAUUGAAACUGUCAGUCUUGAGUACAAAUGAGGUAGGCGGAAUGUGUUGUGUAGCGGUGAAAUGCAUAGAUAUGACACAGAACACCAAUUGAAUUGAGACACGGUCCGGACUCUACGGGAGCCAGCAGUGAGGAAUAUUGGUCAAUGGGCGAGAGCCUGAACCAGCCAAGUCGCGUGAAGGAAGAAGGUCUUAUGGAUUGUAAACUUCUUUUAUAGGGGAAUAAAGAUGAGUACGUGUACUCAGUUGUAGGUACCCUAAGAAUAAGGAUCGGCUAACUCCGUGCCAGCAGCCGCGGUAAUACGGAGGAUCCGAGCGUUAUCCGGAUUUAUUGGGUUUAAAGGGUGCGUAGGCGGGUUGAUAAGUCAGUGGUGAAAGGUUUGCGCUCAACGUAGACAUUGCCAUUGAAACUGUCAGUCUUGAGUACAAAUGAGGUAGGCGGAAUGUGUUGUGUAGCGGUGAAAUGCAUAGAUAUGACACAGAACACCAAUUG